AGUGCCUUCGAAACUGGUUUCCUUGAGUGUGGAUGAAGUAGGCGGAAUUUGUGGUGUAGCGGUGAAAUGCAUAGAUAUCACGAGGAACUCCGAUUGCGCAGGCAGCUUACUAAGCCAUAACUGACGCUCAGGCACGAAGGCGUGGGGAUCAAACAGGAUUAGAUACCCUGGUAGUCCACGCAGUAAACGAUGAUUACUAGCUGUUUGCGAUACAAUGUAAGCGGCUGAGCGAAAGCGUUAAGUAAUCCACCUGGGGAGUACGUUCGCAAGAAUGAAACUCAAAGGAAUUGGCGGGGGCCCGCACAAGCGGAGGAACAUGUGGUUUAAUUCGAUGAUACGCGAGGAACCUUACCCGGGCUUGAAAUGCAUCUGACCGGCCUUGAAAGAGGCUUUCCCUUCGGGGCAGAUGUGUACGUGCUGCAUGGUUGUCGUCAGCUCGUGCCGUGAGGUGUCGGCUUAAGUGCCAUAACGAGCGCAACCCUCAUCAUUAGUUACCAUCAAGAUGAAGCUGGGGGACUCUAAUGAGACUGCCAUCGUAAGAUGCGAAGGGAGGGUGGGGGAUGACGUCAAAGUCAGCACCGGCUCCUUACGGUCCGGGGACGACACACGUUGCUACAAUUGGGUGGCUACAGAGGGGCAUCUACCGUGGGCGGAUAGGGAAUGACUAAAUCUACAAACAGCCACUUCUCCAGGUUCGGGAUCGGUAGUUCUGGCAAGCUCGA
This 722-nucleotide ribosomal RNA is filed under the name uncultured bacterium. Its description in RNAcentral is "bacterial SSU rRNA". It matches the Rfam family "Bacterial small subunit ribosomal RNA", at positions 620 to 1330 of the family's 1533-position model. The record is from RNAcentral.